Small nuclear RNA from Protopterus annectens (West African lungfish), 167 nucleotides. RefSeq annotates it as U1 spliceosomal RNA. The record is from RefSeq and is a predicted model, not a curated record. Lineage: Eukaryota; Metazoa; Chordata; Ceratodontiformes; Protopteridae. The transcript has a single exon.
AUACUUAAAUGGCAGGGAAAAUACCACAAUCAAGAGGGUGGUUUUCCCAGGAUGAAGCUCUUCCAUUGUAAUUUUCUAUUGGGUUAGACCCCUGUGAUUUCCCCAUAUGUGGGAAACUCAACUGCAUACGUUAUGAUAGUGGGGGACCGCGUUCAUGCAGUCCUCUA